CAGUCGAGCGACAGAUAGGAGCUUGCUCCUUUGAAGUUAGCGGCGGACGGGUGAGUAACACGUGGGUAACCUACCUAUAAGACUGGAAUAACUUCGGGAAACCGGAGCUAAUGCCGGAUAACAUUUGGAACCGCAUGGUUCUAAAGUAAAAGAUGGUUUUGCUAUCACUUAUAGAUGGACCCGCGCCGUAUUAGCUAGUUGGUAAGGUAACGGCUUACCAAGGCAACGAUACGUAGCCGACCUGAGAGGGUGAUCGGCCACACUGGAACUGAGACACGGUCCAGACUCCUACGGGAGGCAGCAGUAGGGAAUCUUCCGCAAUGGACGAAAGUCUGACGGAGCAACGCCGCGUGAGUGAUGAAGGUUUUCGGAUCGUAAAACUCUGUUAUUAGGGAAGAACAAAUGUGUAAGUAACUGUGCACAUCUUGACGGUACCUAAUCAGAAAGCCACGGCUAACUACGUGCCAGCAGCCGCGGUAAUACGUAGGUGGCAAGCGUUAUCCGGAAUUAUUGGGCGUAAAGCGCGCGUAGGCGGUUUCUUAAGUCUGAUGUGAAAGCCCACGGCUCAACCGUGGAGGGUCAUUGGAAACUGGGAAACUUGAGUACAGAAGAGGAAAGUGGAAUUCCAUGUGUAGCGGUGAAAUGCGCAGAGAUAUGGAGGAACACCAGUGGCGAAAGCGACUUUCUGGUCUGUAACUGACGCUGAUGUGCGAAAGCGUGGGGAUCAAACAGGAUUAGAUACCCUGGUAGUCCACGCCGUAACGAUGA
Molecule: ribosomal RNA, 768 nt
Filed under: Staphylococcus equorum
Lineage: Bacteria; Bacillati; Bacillota; Bacilli; Caryophanales; Staphylococcaceae
Description: bacterial SSU rRNA
Rfam family: Bacterial small subunit ribosomal RNA
Source: RNAcentral